Molecule: ribosomal RNA, 468 nt
Filed under: uncultured bacterium
Lineage: Bacteria
Description: partial 16S ribosomal RNA
Rfam family: Bacterial small subunit ribosomal RNA
Source: RNAcentral
GACGAACGCUGGCGGCGUGCUUAACACAUGCAAGUCGAACGGAAAGGCCCUGCUUUUGUGGGGUGCUCGAAUGGCGAACGGGUGAGUAACACGUGAGUAACCUGCCCUUGACUUUGGGAUAACUUCAGGAAACUGGGGCUAAUACCGGAUAGGAGCUCCUGCUGCAUGGUGGGGGUUGGAAAGUUUCGGCGGUUGGGGAUGGACUCGCGGCUUAUCAGCUUGUUGGUGGGGUAGUGGCUUACCAAGGCUUUGACGGGUAGCCGGCCUGAGAGGGUGACCGGCCACAUUGGGACUGAGAUACGGCCCAGACUCCUACGGGAGGCAGCAGCGGGGAAUAUUGCACAAUGGGCGGAAGCCUGAUGCAGCAACGCCGCGUGCGGGAUGACGGCCUUCGGGUUGUAAACCGCUUUCGCCUGUGACGAAGCGUGAGUGACGGUAAUGGGUAAAGAAGCACCGGCUAACUACGUG